RNAcentral lists this long non-coding RNA (436 nucleotides) under Pan troglodytes (chimpanzee). Its description in RNAcentral is "lincRNA". The record is from RNAcentral. Lineage: Eukaryota; Metazoa; Chordata; Mammalia; Primates; Hominidae.
GGGAUAUAAAAAUAAUGCAUUGUAUGCCGGAACGGAUAAAUCUGGGACUGAGUACAAGCAAAACAAGACCAAAGGAAGCUAUCUGAGCAGUCACUGGAGCCCUAAUGAUCGCAGCCAUUUCAGGAAAUGCCAUCAAUUACAGUGAGGAGCUCAUUCAGAAGUGAAAGAUGAGUUCCAUUCUCUGUUACUUAGAGGAACACAAUUAUUUCUGGAAAGAGUAUUACACUCAGUAUUCUGCAUUUCAUAUGGCAUUUCAAAGUCCUGAGAAUGACUCUCCAUAGUCUUCUAUGUACUAAUUAAACAUGAACAUGUGGUAAACAACAUGGACUAUUCCAGUGGACAGAAAGCGUCAAGUUAAAAUGUUUAAGUGCCCCAUAUUUUUCUAAGUAUAUCUGUUUUGUAAAACUUCCCAAACAACUCAUCAAUAUUUAAAUAG